CUGGCUGAUUGGAUGAGAGACACCUUGUAAUUGCUCUGAAUAAAGGACAAGUUCAAGCCUAGCCUUGCCUGCUGAGACCAGAGACCACUUCAGUACACCCUACUGGCAGAGACAUAUAUCUUGGAGCUUGUUCUUGAGACAAGUGGGGAAGCUGAAUAUGGGGAACCCAGCAGGCACCAUCGUGUCUCCUUUGUACCACUCAGCAGCUUUCUGCAACACAGAGACAAGAAAUGGAAGAGGAACUGGCAUAUGGCCAGGGGAUUGCAAGGACCUACUAGAACAAGCAGUUGUUCUCUUCUGGGCAAGUUUUCUUCUGGUGACUUCACAUAUCAUAGUGGAGAUGGCCCACGAGGAGACAAAGCAGGUACUCAAAGGUCAACAGAGGAAGAUGAUGUCCAAGAGCUGGGUACAAGACACGAGGCUGGAAGUUCAGAAGUUUAUCAGGAAAGACAUUGCAUUGGGAACUGACUCCUAAAUGUAUUUGUGCAUUAUAUUAACCAGUCAUUCAGUAAAAUAUUGAAAUAGUCAUUUCAAAUAAGGACUCCAGAAGAAAUCUCUCUCUCAGGAGCUGGAUUUCAGGAGAAGGCUAAGGACAGUGAUCUCUCACCAAGAAAAUGAAAGCCUCUCUCCAGGGGUAUGAGAGGUGCUGCUGCAGCUCCAAAAAGGGUUUAAAUGUAAGAUAGCAGCAUGUUCAGUACUGCCUACUGAGUAGCAUAGAGCUGUCUGCUAAUCUCUGGCAAUUUCUCAGCAUUUGUCAGAGUCAUGAUUUAUUGAGCAGUGAGAGUGUUCCUCACCUUGCAAGAUCAGGUCCCUAGAUUGUAACACAUUUUCUUGUUCACCAAAAAGGCUCAUCCACAACUAAGAAAUUAAAGAAACAGAGAAUUAUUCUGUUACACCAGAAACAAUGAAGGAAAAACUAUGUGUAAGCCUUGGCAAAACAUCUCUAAGCAGCACUUUGAGCUUGCAGCACAGCCCAGCCAUAUUUCAGAGCCAAAGAGAAGAUAUUUUUUGUACUAAUGUGCAUCAGGCUGAGACUGGGACCCAGAAAUUGCUGCAAAUACUCAGCUCCUGAAGGCUGUAUAAACCCAGUGGGAUCCUGCUGUGCUUGAGAGGAAAGAGGGCUGAAAUCUAAGUAAUGGCCAAAGUCCAGAUUUUGAAAGAAAAAGGAUUAAUGAAGUCUGCUAUAGUAGUGUACCUGUGAUAACAUCAUAAUUAGAGAUUAAUAACAACCACUUCAUAAAGUCUGACACACUUUUGUGUUCGUUAGUACCAUUGCUGUAUCGAGUGAGCUUUCGAUGCCUUAGAAUAAAAGUGUAUGUCAGAGUGAACUAGAACAGAUUUCCUGAGACCAUAAGUUAGCAAAGUCACUGACACUACAGACUCGGAAUGACUCUCUGGGUCAUACACUCAAAUGGCCAAUUUCUUAUAUAGAAUAAUGGCACACUGAAUAGAUGCUACUGUGUUUUCCUGAUCAGACCAGACCAUCACAAACCUCUCUGUGAGUUUAGGUUGCACAAGCUGAUUUUUAAGCUCCCCUGAGAGCAGCAAGUUUGAAACUUCAGCUGAUUUUUCUUUAAACCACUCCAACUGUUUUUUUCUUGUCUGAUACCUCAAAGCGACUGAAUUGAUUCUUCUGAAAUUUUGCAUUAAUGCUUGUUUCUAAGCUUGUCAAGCAUGAGAAGAAAGAAACAUAUCAGUGGAGUGAAGCAGAGCCUUAUCCUCUAGCUGUAUCACUAGAGCAUGAUGAAUUGGUGUUUAACAAAAUUCCUUAAUGCUACAGGCAAUGACACAAUUAAACCCUAAUCUUGCUUUUUCUGUUACUUUUUUUUUUUCCUGUACAAGUAAGAAACUUAGAAAUAGCUAUAACUGUUAUGUUGUUCCCAACCCCCAGUGAUAGUCAGUUCUUUAGUGAGGUAUGACUAUACCUACAUUAUGUGUUGAAUUGUUCUGGGACAGUCUAAAGCUCGAAGGAGAAAAGUAACAUCUCUAGUUUUCAAGGAAGUAAUGCUUGAAGACAUUAACUUCCCUUAUAUUGAUGUGGCUAGGCUGAAAUCUUCAGUAGACUCAUGGAUUUUUAAUUCAAUUCUUUGCCCCUUUGAAGCAUUUGGCAUUGGCUGCUCUUGGAAACAGGAUAUUGUACUAGAUGAGCUACUGUUGCAGUCUCUGUGUUCCCAAUUUUUUACUUUUUGAAGAGGAUUUUGGGGUUGAAUGUGACUUGUAUUCAAAUAAGUGUGAUGUUUCUGCCCCCGUAGUAAAUGAUGGAUUCAGGUAAAAUAUAUUAAAAGUAACAAACAAAAUAUGGCUUAGGUGCUUCUGAUGUGUAGAUUAUAAAUGUGAUAUUUAUCUCCAAAGAAAAUAAGCACUUUCAAGUGAUUUGAUUUUGAAGGAUAUGAGAACAAUAGUGAGUUACUAACCACAAAGUUUCUUAUACUGUCUGCCUGGUUAAGAAAUAUUGGUUUGACAAGAUAGUCCCAUGGUGUAUACUUUCUAAAAUUAAAACCAUGGCUAAAAUAAAAUGAAACUUACACAGACCAAAAUAAAAUGGCUCAGUGUCCAUUACUACGCUUGCUAAAAAUAGGGAAUAAACAACAAUUACUGCAAAAUCUAAAGGCAGGAUUGUUCAUUUAUUUAUCAGCUACAAAAAACACAGCAUUAUCAAAUCUAGUACUAAACACUGUGUUUUCAUAUUCACUCUACUAAUGUGACAAGGAUCACUGAAACUGUAGAGAGACAGAUUUAAGUAAAAUUUGGUGAUGACCAGAAGCAUUGCUGUAAUUAAAUUGACAUUAAUACUAGCAGUUGAGAAAGUCACAGAAUUACAACACUGGGUUAUUUGGCUCUGUUACUUUCACUUUUUAUAAGGAUUCCCGUUAAUUAGAGACAAUGUUUAGAUAAACAGUCUAAGUGAAAGUGACAAUAUUUCAGGACUGAAAUC
Cygnus olor (mute swan) is the source of this 2935-nucleotide long non-coding RNA. RefSeq lists it as uncharacterized. The record is from RefSeq and is a predicted model, not a curated record. The transcript is spliced from 3 exons. Lineage: Eukaryota; Metazoa; Chordata; Aves; Anseriformes; Anatidae.